Long non-coding RNA from Mya arenaria, 1251 nucleotides. RefSeq lists it as uncharacterized. The record is from RefSeq and is a predicted model, not a curated record. Lineage: Eukaryota; Metazoa; Mollusca; Bivalvia; Myida; Myidae. The transcript has 2 exons.
UCAUGCAUUUGGUAGAUUUGUCAGGCUGAAUUAUGUAUUUUCGUGGUAUUAGACUUUUGAGGAUUGGUUUCAAUAUAGCAUAAUCUGCUAAUUGUUCUUUACAUUUAAUAUUGCAUUCAUGGUUUUGGGUUUUCAGUUAUAACCAGCAUGAACUGCAUUCACCUGAGAGAUGUAUGAUUGACAGUGUGGAGUUCAGUCCCUCAGACUUGAACGUGUUCUCUCUCUUAUAUUAUACGGAUUACGUUCAUUUAAACUAUUGGAACUAAAUGUUUAUGUAACUGAAACAGUGCAAUAAAGACUAAAAACGAACCCGUGCUUUUCUAACAUUCCUAUAAGAACUAUUUGAUAAGCUUGGAAAGUUUAGACUGGUAAUAUUGGCGCCCAACGAGGGAAAGAAAGAAAGAAGAAACUGAUGAGAGAGACAGAGAAGACCACCAGAUAGGUACAGAGAUUACCAGAUGAACCAGAUGGUUCAGAGACGACCUGAUUCAAGGAUUGAAGCUCUUGAAAUUUUAGCACAGUCAGGAGCAUUGAGGAACUUGGAUUUGAUUGUGGCACAGAAGGUGAUAGAGUCUCUGAUGAAGUAGAUUAAAAUGAGAUUACUGGAGCUAUUGAACCAAUUUUAUGUUUUAUUGACACAUGUUUUUAUCAAAAUCUUGGUUAAUUCAUGAGUGAAACGAACUGUUGACAUGCAGAUUAGAUUGCGAUGACGCAAUUUUAAAGGAGGCGAGAUGUAAGACUAACAUUUUAAUGGUUGGGUUAAAUUUAUCAGCUAUAUGAAUGUAUUUUUUGGUAAAAAUGAAAUACUGGUUGAUUACUGGUAGAUUUGAACCCGCUGUAAUUUAGAUAAGUACGUUUAUAGGGUUGAUUAAGUAUUUUAAACCACUAAAGUACUCUAGUAAAUACUUAUGGCCAGCUAGUGUUGUAGUGUUAUUACUAAAGUAGUAGUGAUUGUUAGGCAGAACGACGAGCCUAGAGUGAAUGACGAGACGUCAUUUUUCGGAGAAGGGAAGUAUGUAGCCCAGUUGAAAUUCUGAGAGUUUAAGGGAGACAAUUCAUGCAGAUUGAUUUUACUUUUUAUACAAGUUAUUGGUUAUUGUUUCCCUUAGACCAUUAUAUGUUAUAUGGUUGAGUGAUUUCUUUGAAAUUGGUCAGGUGACUGUAAUUAUCAUUGUUGCAAAGAUUUUCCCUCCAUUGUUGAAAACGUUUGAGAAGUUCUGGAAGCUUUUAAUUUGAUUUGGUCGAGGUAAA